AUCAUCCAUUUUUUUCUAAAGUUUAGGAGUACUGAGAGCAAUUCAAAGAGAACGAAACUCCAGUUUUUUUUAUUCGAAAUGUUCGUUAAUUUGGCCUCCAAUUCGAAGUUGAUAAACAAUCAGAUUAAUUGAGUCGGAUACGUGCAGGGGUUUCUUAUGAUUCACAGUUGAUCAAUCUCUGGACCUGAUGCAAUUACGAAACACCAGAUUUUGGGGACUCUAACCAGUUUGGAUUAUAGGUCUUUCGUGAUCCAAAUCAAUAGCCACUUCGCUUCUUGCAAAGGUAACUAUAAUUCUAUUUUCAGGGUAACUUUAAGUCAGUUUUGUACGAUCAGUUGUUACCUGAAAAGUGACAUUGGUUUCUAUACCUUUUUUUUUACACUAAUAAAAAAAUAACCUCUCUCCAAAAAACCAAUAGAGAAAACUUACCCACCGGCUGAUUCUCACCAGCUCAGAUCUGCUCCUUUGGAGUAGGUCUGAGCAGGUACUCUCCUCUCUAAUCUCUCAAUCUUCUCUUGAUUUUUAUUUAAGCAUUUUCGAUCUUAUAUCUAGCUAGUUUCUUUUUCCUUUUUUUCUUUUUGAUUUAAGUAGAUCGAAUCUUCCGUAUUAGGAUCUUAGAUUUAUGAUUAAGGGUUUGCUUCUGUUUGAUUUUCAGAUCAACUCUUAUAUCAAAGUACUUGCUAAUUGUUUAAUUUUUUUUUGUCUGUUUUAAAAUCUUAAAUUAAAAUUAGGGUUUGACUCUGUUUGAUUUUGUAUCAAAUCUUAAAUCAAAAUCUUAAUUAGUUGUUAUCUUUUCUUUGUUUAGGUUUAGUUAUCUACCAGUUCCAUCUUUAAUUUUCUUUUGUGGGAUUUCACCUUUGGAUUUUACUUUUUAUGAAGUCAGUCAAGAACAGUACUCAUGGUCCUCCAACAUCAGCAGGAAGAGUAUCCUCAAAGACACCAGCAGCAAUGAAGACACCAAAGAUACUAGCAACAACAAAGACACUAGCAAGAAGUGGUUACCGAAGACACAGUCAGUUGAAGUUUCAGACCGAUUUAUCCCGAUUCCGUCUCAAGAGAACCGAUUUUGGUUUUCUAUGUUACUUGUAUCACCUUAUGUUUGAUGAAAACCUUGACUAUUGGUGCUAUCUAUGGGUUCUCUUAUACCAUUGUCAUUUGUGUUACUAUAAUCAUGAAAAAAACCUUGAGAAUUGGUUGGAUAUAUUGAUCCUGACACCUCUACUAUGUAGAAUUGUUAGAAGGUUUGAAUGAGUUUAUCUCAAUUCAAACCAGGCCAGUUAACCUUAUCACGUCACGUAGGAAUCGGGUUAGAAUGGAUAGAGAUUUUUUCAGAGUGUGAUUGGUAUCCACAUUGUUUGGUUGUCUGAAUUUGUAUGUCAUCUGGUUGUUGAAUAUUGUCUGUUUGGUCCUAUUGAGCUUGUUGAGAAGAUCCAAGUCUGUAAUGUAACUCGUUAUGUAACUCAUCCGAUUUUCAAUCGGUUUCGAAAAAAAAAAGCAGCAUCAACGUAAAACAUGAGUUGGAAUGUUGUAGUACAUAACGUUUGAUAACUA
Molecule: long non-coding RNA, 1551 nt
Organism: Papaver somniferum (opium poppy)
Lineage: Eukaryota; Viridiplantae; Streptophyta; Magnoliopsida; Ranunculales; Papaveraceae
Exons: 2
Source: RefSeq, a predicted model, not a curated record